Molecule: ribosomal RNA, 497 nt
Filed under: uncultured bacterium
Lineage: Bacteria
Description: partial 16S ribosomal RNA
Rfam family: Bacterial small subunit ribosomal RNA
Source: RNAcentral
GAUGAACGCUGGCGGCGUGCCUAAUACAUGCAAGUCGAGCGAACAGACGAGGAGCUUGCUCCUCUGACGUUAGCGGCGGACGGGUGAGUAACACGUGGAUAACCUACCUAUAAGACUGGGAUAACUUCGGGAAACCGGAGCUAAUACCGGAUAAUAUAUUGAACCGCAUGGUUCAAUAGUGAAAGACGGUUUUGCUGUCCCUUAUAGAUGGAUCCGCGCCGCAUUAGCUAGUUGGUAAGGUAACGGCUUACCAAGGCAACGAUGCGUAGCCGACCUGAGAGGGUGAUCAGCCACACUGGAACUGAGACACGGUCCAGACUCCUACGGGAGGCAGCAGUAGGGAAUCUUCCGCAAUGGGCGAAAGCCUGACGGAGCAACGCCGCGUGAGUGAUGAAGGUCUUCGGAUCGUAAAGCUCUGUUAUUAGGGAAGAACAAAUGUGUAAGUAACUAUGCACGUCUUGACGGUACCUAAUCAGAAAGCCACGGCUAACUACGUG